UUAAGCGACUAAGCGUACACGGUGGAUGCCCUGGCAGUCAGAGGCGAUGAAGGACGUGCUAAUCUGCGAAAAGCGCCGGCGAGGUGAUAUGAACCCUUGACCCGGCGAUGUCCGAAUGGGGAAACCCAGUGUGUUCCGACACACUAUCGUUAACUGAAUACAUAGGUUAACGAGGCGAACCGGGGGAACUGAAACAUCUAAGUACCCCGAGGAAAAGAAAUCAACCGAGAUUCCCCCAGUAGCGGCGAGCGAACGGGGAGCAGCCCGGAGUCUGAAUCAGCUUGUGUGUUAGUGGAACGGUCUGGAAAGUCCGACGGUACAGGGUGAUAGUCCCGUACACGAAAACACACUUGCUGUGAACUCGAAGAGUAGGGCGGGACACGUGGUAUCCUGUCUGAAUAUGGGGGGACCAUCCUCCAAGGCUAAAUACUCCUGACUGACCGAUAGUGAACCAGUACCGUGAGGGAAAGGCGAAAAGAACCCCGGCGAGGGGAGUGAAAAAGAACCUGAAACCGUGUACGUACAAGCAGUGGGAGCACCUUCGGGUGUGACUGCGUACCUUUUGUAUAAUGGGUCAGCGACUUAUAUUCUGUAGCAAGGUUAACCGUAUAGGGGAGCCGAAGGGAAACCGAGUCUUAACUGGGCGUUAAGUUGCAGGGUAUAGACCCGAAACCCGGUGAUCUAGCCAUGGGCAGGUUGAAGGUUGGGUAACACUAACUGGAGGACCGAACCGACUAAUGUUGAAAAAUUAGCGGAUGACCUGUGGCUGGGGGUGAAAGGCCAAUCAAACCGGGAGAUAGCUGGUUCUCCCCGAAAGCUAUUUAGGUAGCGCCUCGUGAACUCAUCUUCGGGGGUAGAGCACUGUUUCGGCUAGGGGGCCAUCCCGGCUUACCAACCCGAUGCAAACUACGAAUACCGAAGAAUGUUAUCACGGGAGACACACGGCGGGUGCUAACGUCCGUCGUGAAGAGGGAAACAACCCAGACCGCCAGCUAAGGUCCCAAAGUCAUGGUUAAGUGGGAAACGAUGUGGGAAGGCACAGACAGCCAGGAUGUUGGCUUAGAAGCAGCCAUCAUUUAAAGAAAGCGUAAUAGCUCACUGGUCGAGUCGGCCUGCGCGGAAGAUGUAACGGGGCUAAACCAUGCACCGAAGCUGCGGCAGCGACGCUUAUGCGUUGUUGGGUAGGGGAGCGUUCUGUAAGCCGUUGAAGGUGUGCUGUGAGGCAUGCUGGAGGUAUCAGAAGUGCGAAUGCUGACAUAAGUAACGAUAAAGCGGGUGAAAAGCCCGCUCGCCGGAAGACCAAGGGUUCCUGUCCAACGUUAAUCGGGGCAGGGUGAGUCGACCCCUAAGGCGAGGCCGAAAGGCGUAGUCGAUGGGAAACAGGUUAAUAUUCCUGUACUUGGUGUUACUGCGAAGGGGGGACGGAGAAGGCUAUGUCAGCCGGGCGACGGUUGUCCCGGUUUAAGCAUGUAGGCGGAGGUUCCAGGUAAAUCCGGUACCUUUUAACGCUGAGGUGUGAUGACGAGGCACUACGGUGCUGAAGUGAUAAAUGCCCUGCUUCCAGGAAAAGCCUCUAAGCAUCAGGUAACACGAAAUCGUACCCCAAACCGACACAGGUGGUCAGGUAGAGAAUACCAAGGCGCUUGAGAGAACUCGGGUGAAGGAACUAGGCAAAAUGGUGCCGUAACUUCGGGAGAAGGCACGCUGAUAUGUAGGUGAAGUCCCUGCGGACGGAGCUGAAAUCAGUCGAAGAUACCAGCUGGCUGCAACUGUUUAUUAAAAACACAGCACUGUGCAAACACGAAAGUGGACGUAUACGGUGUGACGCCUGCCCGGUGCCGGAAGGUUAAUUGAUGGGGUUAGCGGCAACGCGAAGCUCUUGAUCGAAGCCCCGGUAAACGGCGGCCGUAACUAUAACGGUCCUAAGGUAGCGAAAUUCCUUGUCGGGUAAGUUCCGACCUGCACGAAUGGCGUAAUGAUGGCCAGGCUGUCUCCACCCGAGACUCAGUGAAAUUGAACUCGCUGUGAAGAUGCAGUGUACCCGCGGCAAGACGGAAAGACCCCGUGAACCUUUACUAUAGCUUGACACUGAACACUGGUCCUUGAUGUGUAGGAUAGGUGGGAGGCUUUGAAGCGUGGACGCCAGUCUGCGUGGAGCCGUCCUUGAAAUACCACCCUUUAAUGGCUGGUGUUCUAACGUAGACCCGUGAUCCGGGUUGCGGACAGUGUCUGGUGGGUAGUUUGACUGGGGCGGUCUCCUCCCAAAGAGUAACGGAGGAGCACGAAGGUUGGCUAAUCCUGGUCGGACAUCAGGAGGUUAGUGCAAUGGCAUAAGCCAGCUUGACUGCGAGCGUGACGGCGCGAGCAGGUGCGAAAGCAGGUCAUAGUGAUCCGGUGGUUCUGAAUGGAAGGGCCAUCGCUCAACGGAUAAAAGGUACUCCGGGGAUAACAGGCUGAUACCGCCCAAGAGUUCAUAUCGACGGCGGUGUUUGGCACCUCGAUGUCGGCUCAUCACAUCCUGGGGCUGAAGUAGGUCCCAAGGGUAUGGCUGUUCGCCAUUUAAAGUGGUACGCGAGCUGGGUUUAGAACGUCGUGAGACAGUUCGGUCCCUAUCUGCCGUGGGCGCUGGAGAAUUGAGGGGGGCUGCUCCUAGUACGAGAGGACCGGAGUGGACGCAUCACUGGUGUUCGGGUUGUCAUGCCAAUGGCACUGCCCGGUAGCUAAAUGCGGAAGAGAUAAGUGCUGAAAGCAUCUAAGCACGAAACUUGCCCCGAGAUGAGUUCUCCCUGAGACUUUAAGUCUCCUGAAGGAACGUUGAAGACGACGACGUUGAUAGGUCGGGUGUGUAAGCGCAGCGAUGCGUUGAGCUAACCGAUACUAAUGAACCGUGAGGCUUAACCUU
RNAcentral lists this ribosomal RNA (2902 nucleotides) under Enterobacter cloacae. RNAcentral describes it as "bacterial LSU rRNA". It matches the Rfam family "Bacterial large subunit ribosomal RNA". Lineage: Bacteria; Pseudomonadati; Pseudomonadota; Gammaproteobacteria; Enterobacterales; Enterobacteriaceae. The record is from RNAcentral. RNAcentral also lists the same sequence under 1 other name.